UACGAAGGUUGCAAGCGUUACUCGGAAUUACUGGGCGUAAAGCGUGCGUAGGCGGUUUGUUAAGUCUGUCGUGAAAGCCCCGGGCUCAACCUGGGAAUGGCGAUGGAAACUGGCGAGCUAGAGUACGGUAGAGGAGAGUGGAAUUCCCGGUGUAGCAGUGAAAUGCGUAGAGAUCGGGAGGAACAUCAGUUGCGAAGGCGGCUCUCUGGACCAGUACUGACGCUGAGGCACGAAAGCGUGGGGAGCAAACAGG
This 253-nucleotide ribosomal RNA is filed under the name uncultured bacterium. Its description in RNAcentral is "partial 16S ribosomal RNA". It matches the Rfam family "Bacterial small subunit ribosomal RNA", at positions 524 to 776 of the family's 1533-position model. The record is from RNAcentral.